CAGUAGCCGCGGUAAUACGUAGGUGGCAGGCGUUGUCCGGCAUUAUUGGGCGUAAAGGGCUCGCAGGCGGUUUCUUAAGUCUGAUGUGAAAGCCCCCGGCUCAACCGGGGAGGGUCAUUGGAAACUGGGAAACUUGAGUGCAGAAGAGGAGAGUGGAAUUCCACGUGUAGCGGUGAAAUGCGUAGAGAUGUGGAGGAACACCAGUGGCGAAGGCGACUCUCUGGUCUGUAACUGACGCUGAGGAGCGAAAGCGUGGGGAGCGAACAGGAUUAGAUACCCCAGUAGUCCCUGUCUCUUAUAC
This 301-nucleotide ribosomal RNA is filed under the name uncultured bacterium. RNAcentral describes it as "partial 16S ribosomal RNA". It matches the Rfam family "Bacterial small subunit ribosomal RNA", at positions 509 to 807 of the family's 1533-position model. The record is from RNAcentral.